ACGAACGCUGGCGGCGUGCUUAACACAUGCAAGUCGAACGAUGAACCACUUCGGUGGGGAUUAGUGGCGAACGGGUGAGUAACACGUGGGCAAUCUGCCCUUCACUCUGGGACAAGCCCUGGAAACGGGGUCUAAUACCGGAUAACACUCCUGCCUGCAUGGGYGGGGGUUAAAAGCUCCGGCGGUGAAGGAUGAGCCCGCGGCCUAUCAGCUUGUUGGUGAGGUAGUGGCUCACCAAGGCGACGACGGGUAGCCG
RNAcentral lists this ribosomal RNA (256 nucleotides) under Streptomyces sp. ISO687_OTU372. RNAcentral describes it as "partial 16S ribosomal RNA". It matches the Rfam family "Bacterial small subunit ribosomal RNA", at positions 29 to 289 of the family's 1533-position model. Lineage: Bacteria; Bacillati; Actinomycetota; Actinomycetes; Kitasatosporales; Streptomycetaceae. The record is from RNAcentral.